Molecule: ribosomal RNA, 502 nt
Filed under: uncultured bacterium
Lineage: Bacteria
Description: partial 16S ribosomal RNA
Rfam family: Bacterial small subunit ribosomal RNA
Source: RNAcentral
ACUCAAAUGAAUAGACGGGGGCCCGCACAAGCGGUGGAGUAUGUGGUUUAAUUCGACGCAACGCGAAGAACCUUACCAGCCUUUGACAUGUCUUGUAUGGGUCUAGGAGACUAGAUCCUUCGGUUCGGCCGGCAAGAACACAGGUGCUGCAUGGCUGUCGUCAGCUCGUGUCGUGAGAUGUUGGGUUAAGUCCCGCAACGAGCGCAACCCUCAUCUUCAGUUGCCCCCAGGUAAUGCUGGGCACUCUGAAGAAACCGCCGGUGACAAGCCGGAGGAAGGCGGGGAUGACGUCAAGUCCUCAUGGCCCUUACAGGCUGGGCUACACACGUACUACAAUGGUGGUGACAGUGGGCUGCGAAGGAGCGAUCCGGAGCCAAUCCCCAAAAACCAUCUCAGUUCAGAUUGCACUCUGCAACUCGAGUGCAUGAAGUUGGAAUCGCUAGUAAUCGCAAAUCAGCACGCUGCGGUGAAUACGUUCCCGGGCCUUGCACACACCGCCCGU